This 434-nucleotide ribosomal RNA is filed under the name uncultured Pseudoflavonifractor sp. RNAcentral describes it as "partial 16S ribosomal RNA". It matches the Rfam family "Bacterial small subunit ribosomal RNA", at positions 341 to 792 of the family's 1533-position model. The record is from RNAcentral. Lineage: Bacteria; Bacillati; Bacillota; Clostridia; Eubacteriales; Oscillospiraceae.
ACGGGAGGCAGCAGUGGGGAAUAUUGGGCAAUGGGGGAAACCCUGACCUAGCAACGCCGCGUGAAGGAAGAAGGCCCUCGGGUUGUAAACUUCUUUUACCAGGGACGAUAAUGACGGUACCUGGAGAAAAAGCAACGGCUAACUACGUGCCAGCAGCCGCGGUAAUACGUAGGUUGCAAGCGUUGUCCGGAUUUACUGGGUGUAAAGGGCGUGUAGGCGGAACUGCAAGUUAGAUGUGAAAUCCCGGGGCUCAACCCCGGAACUGCAUUUGAAACUGUAGUCCUUGAGUAUCGGAGAGGCAAGCGGAAUUCCUAGUGUAGCGGUGAAAUGCGUAGAUAUUAGGAGGAACACCAGUGGCGAAGGCGGCUUGCUGGACGACAACUGACGCUGAGGCGCGAAAGCGUGGGGAGCAAACAGGAUUAGAUACCCUGGUA